UGAGAGUUUUGAUUGUGGCUCAGGACGAACGCUGGCGGCGUGCUUAACACAUGCAAGUCGAACGGUGAAGGGAUCAGCUUGCUGGUUCUGGAUGAGUGGCGAACGGGUGAGUAACACGUGAGUAACCUGCCCCCUUCUUCCGGAUAUCCGCAUGAAAGUGUGGAUAAUACGGGAUAUUCUGGGUUUGUCGCAUGGCGGCCCUGGGAAAGAUGCGCCUUUGGGUGUUUUUGGUGGGGGAUGGGCUCGCGGCCUAUCAGCUUGUUGGUGGGGUGAUGGCCUCCCAAGGCGUGACGGGUAGCCGGCCUGAGAGGGUGGACGGUCACACUGGGAGUGAGACACGGCCCAGUCUCCUACGGGAGGCAGCAGUGGGGAAUAUUGCACAAUGGGCGCAAGCCAGAUGCAGCGACGCCGCGUGAGGGAUGGAGGCCUUCGUGUUGUAAUGAUAUUUGAUCAGGGAACCGGGUCUGCUCCUGAGGGUGNGUG
RNAcentral lists this ribosomal RNA (483 nucleotides) under Actinomyces sp. C59. Its description in RNAcentral is "bacterial SSU rRNA". It matches the Rfam family "Bacterial small subunit ribosomal RNA", at positions 1 to 475 of the family's 1533-position model. The record is from RNAcentral. Lineage: Bacteria; Bacillati; Actinomycetota; Actinomycetes; Actinomycetales; Actinomycetaceae.